Molecule: RNA transcript, 6354 nt
Organism: Dermochelys coriacea (leatherback sea turtle)
Lineage: Eukaryota; Metazoa; Chordata; Testudines; Dermochelyidae
Gene: FBXO33
Gene name: F-box protein 33
Exons: 9
Source: RefSeq, a predicted model, not a curated record
CUCCGCCUAGUCAUUGAUGUUGUUGUUUUUGUCGCAGGAGGCGGAGGCGAGGCCGCGGCCUGGGGCUGCAGCAGCGGGGCUCGGGCCGGCGCCAGGCAUGGCGGUGUGCGGGGAGGCGGUGGGCGCCGGCUCCCUGCCCAGCGAGCUGGUGGUUCACAUCUUCUCGUUCCUGGCGGGCCCGGACCGGCUGCGGGCCUCGGCCGCCUGCUCGCACUGGCGGGAGUGCCUCUUCUACCCGGCCCUGUGGCCCCGGCUGCGCCUCAGCCUCCGCGUCUCCCCCGCCGAGCGGCCGCGCCUCGACUUCCUCAUGCGCAAGUGCGGCUGGUUCGUGCGGGAGUUGCGCGUCCAGUUCGCCGCCGACAACUACCCCGGCGGCGGCGGCGGCGGGGUCUGCGAGGGGGCGGCGGCCGCGGCCGAGGGGGAGACGCCGCUCUGCCCCCGCUGGCUGGACCUGCUGAGGACCUACCUGGAGUUGGUGCUGUGCGUGCUGAGCAGCGUCCGCAAUAACAGGAACCUCCAGAAGUUAAGUCUUUUUGGGGAUAUAAGCAUUCUUCAACAACAUGGAAGUAUAUCGAAUACAUACCUCAGCAAGGUGGACCCAGAUGGCAAAAAGAUUAAGCAAAUACAACAGCUAUUUGAAGAAAUAUUGGGCAAUAGCAGGCAACUGAAGUGGCUGUCUUGUGGGUUUAUGCUGCAAAUAGUUACUCCCACAUCAUUGUCAUCUUUAUCAAACCCCAUUGCCAACACCAUGGAACACCUGAGUUUGCUGGACAACCACAUCCCUGGUAAUACCACUCUUAUCACUGCAGUUGAAUUGGAGCGCUUUGUGAAUCUGCGCUCCCUCGCCUUGGAUUUUUGUGAUUUUACAGCUGAAAUGGCAAGAGUCCUGGCUGAUAGCAACCAUGUGCCUUUGCAUCGACUCUCUCUUCUGGUCCACAAAAUUUCCAUAAUGCACAAGUCCUUGGAAAACAUGCCAGAAGAUGAGAAUUGGAAGGCACUGACACGCAACAGCACUAAUCUUCGGGUCUAUAUUAUGGCUUUUGAUAUCAAGAGUGAUGACAUGCUAAGAAUUCUUAAGCCCAGUAUCCCACUAGAGAGGAUUCACUUUGACAGCUACAUCACUUGUGUUUCAGGGGCUGUUGUUGACCUCAUAUCCAGGCAGUAUGACAAAUUUCUCACUCAUUUUAUAUUAAUGAAUGAUGUGAUAGAUAUGUCUGGUUUCCCAGAUCUUAGUGACAACCGUAAUGAAGAUCCACUGGUUUUGUUAGCAUGGAGGUGCACAAGGCUCUCUCUCCUAGCAGUUCAUGGUUACACAGUGUGGGCCCAUAACCUCAUUGCAAUCGCUCGUCUUCGUGGCUCUGAUUUGAAAGUGCUUGAAGUCACAGAAGAAAGCAUUGAUUUCGACCAAGGUGAACUGGCUGAUCAAGAUGUGGAUCCAGUACAUAACCUCAUUGAGCAGGUUAUUAAAGAACUCCUGGUGGAGCCAUGUUGGCCUCUUACUAUUCUUUCUAUGUUUCCUUUGCAUGAGAAUAGUUCGCAGAUGUGUCUUUUAAUAUUGUCUCCUUGAGGAACUGCCAGCUCUCCUGAAUUCCCUUUUCCCUUAGAUUUUCUUCUCAUGGGACCUUACUUACCAGUUCUGUGUUUGUUAAAGAUGUAUACAGGAGCUUAAAGUUAAGUGCUUUUGAAAAUCUUACCCUUAGGAAGAUUGACUUCAAACCCUGAUGGAAGCGCGAAGAGCAAGCACUGCUCUUUGCAUGCAGAGUUUCCCUGUGCAGGGGAGACAACAGCUGGACUGUUUUCAAUGUUACUCUAGUUUAGGACACCUUCAGAACAGAUCAUUAAGAUGUCUUUCCGCUGCCCGGGCUGUCAGCUUUAGGAAAAAAAACCUACUCAAUUAAAUAUUUCGUAACUAGUACACCUCCUGGAUUUCCAGGUACCAUCAUCAAGAAUGUCAACAUAAUUCUAGGAACUGCAUUAAUCAAUUAACUGAUCAACAGAACCUUCUAAAGCAGUGGUUCUCAACCAGGGGUCCAGGGCCCGCUGGGGUGGCCAUGAGCAGGUUUCAGGGGGUCCAUCAAGCAGGACCAGUGUUAGAUUUACUGGCAGAAAUCCAGAGUCCCACUGCAUGGGGCUGAAACAGAAGCCUAAGCAACCUAGCGCACAGUGCCCCCCACGGCAUGGGGCCCCAGGCAAUUUCCCAGCUUCCUACCCCUUAAAGCCAGCCCUGGCUUUUAUAUGCAGUUAUUGUGGCACAGGUGGGCCAUGGAGUUUUUAUAGCAUGUUGUGGGGGGCCUCAGAAAGAAAAAGGUUGAGAACCCCCGUUCUAAAGAAUCAGUCAUCAAAUUGUGCUCAAAAAGUCACCAACUUUCAAGGGGAGUAAAGGCUGAAGAAUCAUGCCAUACUUUGGGAUUCUCAAAGACAAACUAUCCUACCUACCCUGCUUUGCAAACAAAAUGAAGCGACCCAUAUAAGAAUACAAAAUUUUAGAUUCUAUACACUGAUGGAAGACGAGAACCUGCCAUUAGGCACUUGAGUGUCAUGUGUAUUUAUCAUCUCUCUCUCUCAAACACACACAUACCAUUUAUAUAAAGCUAGGAUAACUAUAAAAAGCAUGGAAAUUUUUUUGUGGGGGGGAACACUAUGACAGAAUAUAUUCUGUAACAAUGCAUUAUAAUAAGUAAAUUUACUAAGUCUCUUGUGGAUUUUGUAAACUUUAGAGAAAGCACCAACAGUAAAUAAAAAUUUGUAAAGUACCUGUAACUGUUUAGUUCUUCAGCAGCAUGAUUAAUUUUCUCAUCUACUUUAGAGAGUUUUUCUUCUUUCUGUAACCGUUCUCUCUCUUCUACUGUUAGUUUCCUUUAACACACGGACAGUAUGGUUAGCUGUACCUCAAAAAAUAAUUUUGCAGUUAUUCUCUCAAAGAGAUUAUUUAGUGUGAUAUUCACCCACAGAAGCAGAAAAAGGUUGUGGGGUGUAAGCAUAGUGUUUUUAAAUUUGUUUACAUAGCUCAUUAGCCAUUAAUUAUUAAAAUCUGGAACAGUAAGGUAAUACCAGGACUAUCACUGCACUCAAAUUAACUCUGAUGCACAUAAGGCAGCUCUGCAGAACAUGCAGCCCACAGGCUAGAAUAGGAACCAUUAACCAUUCUCCCCUAUACAUGGGUUCUUGGCCACUAGGCUGCAUAAAUGUGGAACUACUAGUCAUGCCCUAGCCUCUCCCCAAAUUCACGUAUAUAGUGUGCUAUGCAAACCAAUUACUGAUGCAUAUUUAAUCAUUUUUUCUGAGAAAUGUCAGUAUAGUUUGCAACUGUCACCAUGCUAUUUCACUACUGAAUGACUGUCCUAGCCAACUGAUAGGGUUAAACACAUAAUAGGUCUGUUGAAGUUUCAAAAGUGACUUUAUUCCCUCUUCUCUAAACAAAAGCCCAGUUUAUCCAUAAUUACAACAUUUUUAAAAUGUAUUGUACUUCUCAGGAUGCUAGUUUUUGCCUGCCCAAAGUUGUGUCAGCCCUUGUAAGUAAACACAGGAACCUCAGGAAUGGAGGUUAUUCGUAACUCUGAAAUGUUCAUAAAACUGAACAAAACAUAUUGUUGUUCUUUCAAAAGUUUACAAUUGAACACUGAUUUUAAUACAGCUUUGAAACUUUAUUAUGCAGAAGAAAAAUGCUGCUUUUCCUUUAUUUUUUAGUAGUUUAUGUUUAACAGUACUAUACUAAAUUUGGUGGGGAUUUGUUUGGUUUUUUUUGUCUCUGCUGCUGCCUGAUUGUAUAUUUCCAGUUCCAAAUGUGGCAUGCGGUUGACUGGUCAGUUCGUAACUCUGAGAUUCUAUUGUAAAGUUCAGCUCUUAACCAGCUGAAAUAGGCUAUAAUUGUCUAAUUGGUACAACACACUUUUGCAUACAAACACAUUUAAAAAUAAUACCCCUCACCUGUUCCCAUAAACAGUUACAGUGAUAAAUACACAAGAGGUAUACAGUCCCUUCCUAUACAAGCAUUUCAAGAUUAGUAUCAUGGACUUUCCCAAUAUUUCAUCCAUCACUUCAAAAAAUUAAUAAAUAAUAAUAAUCACAUCCGAAUCUAAAAACAAAGAUGUAAAAAUCUAUUUGUUUAUUCAGCUACAUAUCAGUUUACCACAAAUGCUCAGAUUUUCAUAUGUAUACUGUAUUUUCAGCCAAAUUAUAAGGAAUCUGGUUGAUAUAAAACUACAGUUGUUAUGAGAAUUAUCUUUCAAGAAACUGUCAAAUUUGUUGAUACAUUUAACUGAAAAGUCAAAUGACUUCCCAAUCUUCCCUUAAUCAAUCAUUAAAUGCUUAAUGUAAAAACACAGCGGUAUCAGUACCUGUGUAAUUUCAUUUCAUUUUCUUGAUAUAGCUCUGUCAUUACUUUAAGCUUUUGCUGAAGCUUUUGAAGUUCACUUUCAAAAUGUGCAUUUUCAGACUGCAAGGAGACUUGCUCAUGUUGGAGAUUUUCAAUGCGUUCUGUCAAAGUUAGAGACAGCUGAAUAAUGUGCACAGUUUAUGAAGUUAAAACAAAAUCAAAACAUUUUAGAAAGUAAAAAACAUUGCAAGUCGAGGACUUUAAAGUUUUAUUAAUGAAGGCCUGUUUGACAUUUGGGAAGUAACGUAGGGAGACAUCUCCCUACAGUCCAUAGGAUACGGUUUAGUUUUUUGCAUUGUGAUAUAUUUCCACAGAUUGCACAAUUGAGAAACAGUAUUCUGACUGGUCUUAGUACAGGACAGGGAGUCAGGAGUUCUGAAUACUUCUUCCAGAUUUAACACAUACUUGAUAUGACUUUGGCUUAGUUAGUUAAGCUCUGUUUCCCCAUCUGUGGCUGGAAUGGCUCAGAAAGUCAGUACUUUUCCUCUGGAGGAUGCCAUUUUGAGAUCCAUAGUCUAAAUUUUCAGGUUGUUUUCUAUUAUUAUUAUUUGUUUAAGUGUGCUGAAGACAACAAGCAGCAUGAACAAUAGUUCACAGAAGUGUAGAAAUGCCCCAUUCAUCCCAAUUGGGGUUAACCCUGAAACAUCAUGAUAGUUAACAACAUGGAGCAAGGAGAUAGACAUUUAAAUUAUCUCCUUAUUUAUUCAGUUGCAAACCGUGCUUCCUUUCAAUAUAUUUAAGCCUCUGAAGUUCAAAGGCCCGAAUGGGGAAAAAGGCUACAGUCAGUCUAGAAAGACAUCUAUUUGAUGAGUCAGCAUAGGAGACCCUUAAAAGUUAUCGGGGAAAAAAUUGCUGCAUUAGAGGACAGAAUAAUCCAAAAGGCCACCAGGCAUAUGGCAUUUUAAAUUGAGUCCAAUUUUCUGCUGAUAGUGUUGUUAUUUAGGUUGAAGGCAUUGGCUAAUUAGAUGCAAGAUGUAUAAAGUUGCACUAAUUUUAUUUUAAAAAUAUAUUUCCUUAGAAUGAAGCCUUUGUAGAUUUUGUCCAAAGGAAAAGAGGCGACUAUGUACUUUCCAGGCAAGAGUAUUUUUAGAAGAAAGUAAUGCUGUAUUCCAACUAAAUAUAAUGAACUAAUCACUUAUAAUAUAUAAUGAACUUUAUUAGAAAUGAGUUUCACAAUUAAACAUCCUAAUGAAAGCCAAUAGACAUAUUUUCAAUAGCAAUAUUGAAAAAAGAUUUUCAGUAUAUUUAUUUUUAGUGGCAACUGUUGCAUUUCCAACAGUGAACUGGGGUAACAAAUUAAAAAUGGCAUCUCAGCAGUCUAUAUUAUUGCUGUGGUUUUAGCCACUUACUCUUUUAAGAUCAAAUUUUUGGAACUGGUUAAGUCACUUCAAUUCAAAUUUAAUGGAUUUUUAGCUAUUACUGUAAACUUAAUAUUUUUUCCACAAAAACUGAAUGAAUAAGCCAGAGUUAUUUAAAGACAUGAAUAGCUUCUCUUAUUUAAAAAUAUCAGUUAUUUCAAAAACAAAAUAAUCUAAUUACCUGUAAGUUCUUCUUUAGCUUUAUCUUCAUCUGCCAGUUUUAAAUAUACUUGAUUUCUUUCUAUUUCCAGGGUUUUUAAACAAGCAUUUAACUACAUUAAAUUAAAAAAGGAAUUAAGUGUGAGUACAUUACUGCAGGAAAAAGACUCAAUUCUACUUGACUGCAUUUCUCAGAUAAUACAAUACUAAAGUCAGAAUGUUAUGUUAUGGCUGUAACAUUAAUUGAUUACUGCUUGGAAAUGCAAUCAGCUAAUACCCUAUUUGAGGAGGACAGGGCAGGUUGCAUUCAUUCUAGACCCUGGCAAAGAAAAAAAAAGUGUCAAUUAAGAUUGUUUAAGUAUGGUAAAAAAUAUUUAGAAAAAACGGACACCCUGAACUUUGUUUACAUUGAUACAAUUAUAUAUCUCCAUUAAAGUACAUGCCAUCAUGUUGUUACAUCUA